AAGUCGUAACAAGGUCUCCGUAGGGGAACCUGCGGAGGGAUCAUUUCCGAAAAAAACUGAUCGAGUAGCUUAGAUUCUUGUAAAAGAGAGUUUGGGUGAAAGAUCAAAAAAAGUUGGUUGUGCUCAAAAACUAUUAAUUUUGGUAUGAUUUUGCUGCAUAAGAAGUGUUUUUCGCAAGAGAAGUGCUUUUUUUUGUAGUGAAAGAGUACCAAGAUCAAAUACAUAAACUGUCAUCAAGGUAUCCUUAACUGAAUCCAAGAAAUAUCAAAAAAUUGAUACGACAA
RNAcentral lists this unclassified non-coding RNA (284 nucleotides) under plant metagenome. RNAcentral's name for it is "partial contains small subunit ribosomal RNA and internal transcribed spacer 1". The stretch from base 1 to 46 matches the Rfam family "Eukaryotic small subunit ribosomal RNA", at positions 1786 to 1831 of the family's 1831-position model. The record is from RNAcentral.